This 465-nucleotide ribosomal RNA is filed under the name uncultured bacterium. RNAcentral describes it as "partial 16S ribosomal RNA". It matches the Rfam family "Bacterial small subunit ribosomal RNA", at positions 28 to 507 of the family's 1533-position model. The record is from RNAcentral.
GACGAACGCUGGCGGCGUGCUUAACACAUGCAAGUCGAACGGAAAGGCCCUGCUUUCAGGGUACUCGCGUGGCGAACGGGUGAGUAACACGUGGGUGAUCUGCCCUGCACUUCGGGAUAAGCCUGGGCAACUGGGUCUAAUACCGGAUAGGUGCCAUUUUUAGUGUGAUGGUUGGAAAGUUUUUUCGGUGUAGGAUGAGCUCGCGGCCUAUCAGCUUGUUGUUGGGGUAAUGGCCUACCAAGGCGGCGACGGGUAGCCGGCCUGAGAGGGUGGACGGCCACAUUGGGACUGAGAUACGGCCCAGACUCCUACGGGAGGCAGCAGUGGGGAAGAUUGCACAAUGGGCGCAAGCCUGAUGAAGAGACGCCGCGUGGGGGAUGACGGCCUUCGGGUUGUAAACUACUUGCGCUAGGGACGAAGCUUUUUGUGACGGUACCUAGAUAAGAAGCACCGGCUAACUACGUG